Long non-coding RNA from Tachyglossus aculeatus (Australian echidna), 486 nucleotides. RefSeq lists it as uncharacterized. Lineage: Eukaryota; Metazoa; Chordata; Mammalia; Monotremata; Tachyglossidae. The record is from RefSeq and is a predicted model, not a curated record. The transcript is spliced from 2 exons.
AGUCAGAUCGCCGUCAGUGAUAUCGAAUGACCAUCUACCGUGGAGGGAGCUGUCACUUGGGAGACAUGUCAGAUCGCUGUCAACGAUACCGAAUGGCCGCCUAUUGUGGAGGGAGCUGUCACUUGGGAGACGUAAAGAAGAAACCCAGAACGUGUUCCCUCAAGGAACUUAGGACCUGAUAGGGAAGACAAGCAAGCAUAUCUUAACAAAUGAACAAUCGCUAAGCACAUGAAACCAAGUGAAGCUGUAUUUGGCCUUCGUAUUCAAAGACAACGAAGUUCAUCUUUGAGUGAUUGUGGCCGGAAAAGCCAAUGUGGGACCCACAACCCCAGCCAUAUUGAGCGCACGCUCAAAAGUCAUCCCUUGCGUUGUCACUCUUAACGACUGCAGCAUCUGGUGCUGUCUUCUAUUUUGCCCUCUCAUCUCUUGUUUCUUAUAAAACUUUUGCUCCCUCAUCUCUCCUUCCUUAUAAAGCUUUUGCUCGAA